CGUGUCGCGCAUAUCUGCAUAUCAAUAAGCGGAGGAAAAGAAACUAACAAGGAUUCCCUUAGUAACGGCGAGUGAAGCGGGAAGAGCUCAAAUUUGAAAUCUUCAAGGUUCUACCUUGACGAAUUGUAGUUUAAAGAAGUGUUUUCUGUUAGAUGAGUAGCAAAAGUUCCUUGGAAUGGGACAUCAUAGAGGGUGAGAAUCCCGUAUUUGGUCGUUCCUUCUAGCUUUGUGAUACACUUUCAAAGAGUCGGAUUGUUUGGGAAUGCAGUCCAAAAUGGGUGGUAAAUUUCAUCUAAAGCUAAAUAUUGGCGAGAGACCGAUAGCGAACAAGUACCGUGAGGGAAAGAUGAAAAGAACUUUGAAAAGAGAGUUAAACAGUACGUGAAAUUGUCAAAAGGGAAGCGUUUGACACCAGUGUUGUUUUUCCGAAAAUCAAUUACGAAUGGCUUGAUUUUGUGUUGCAUUGACCUUAUCAGCUUUCUGCACUUUUUUCGAGUCUUUCUUAAUGCACUUUUCGGUUAACAAGUCAACAUCAAUUUCUUUUGUUGUAAAAGAGUAUUCGGAAGGUGGCUUUCUUUUCGGAGAAAGUGUUUAUAGCCCUAUACUUCUACAAUCGGAGAGAUUGAGGUCUGCAGCGUAGAUCCUUCGGGGUUAGAUACACUUUGUGCUAAGUUAGUAGCUUUUCAUAGACAACUUGUUGACUAUGUUUAGUCUUGUAGCUUACUCGCUUAUGCUAUUUUACCUACGCUUAGGAUGUUGACGAUCAGCUGAGCGCG
RNAcentral lists this ribosomal RNA (776 nucleotides) under uncultured Neocallimastigales. RNAcentral's name for it is "partial large subunit ribosomal RNA". It matches the Rfam family "Eukaryotic large subunit ribosomal RNA", at positions 24 to 646 of the family's 3401-position model. The record is from RNAcentral. Lineage: Eukaryota; Fungi; Neocallimastigomycota; Neocallimastigomycetes; Neocallimastigales.